RNAcentral lists this non-coding RNA (25 nucleotides) under Rattus norvegicus (Norway rat). Lineage: Eukaryota; Metazoa; Chordata; Mammalia; Rodentia; Muridae. The record is from RNAcentral.
UGAAAGUGGAAGGUUCCCGAAAAGC